This 496-nucleotide ribosomal RNA is filed under the name uncultured bacterium. RNAcentral's name for it is "partial 16S ribosomal RNA". It matches the Rfam family "Bacterial small subunit ribosomal RNA", at positions 29 to 507 of the family's 1533-position model. The record is from RNAcentral.
AUGAACGCUGGCGGCGCGCCUAAUACAUGCAAGUCGAGCGAACAGAUGAGGAGCUUGCUCCUCUGACGUUAGCGGCGGACGGGUGAGUAACACGUGGAUAACCUACCUAUAAGACUGGGAUAACUUCGGGAAACCGGAGCUAAUACCGGAUAAUAUAUUGAACCGCAUGGUUCAAUAGUGAAAGACGGUUUUGCUGUCACUUAUAGAUGGAUCCGCGCCGCAUUAGCUAGUUGGUAAGGUAACGGCUUACCAAGGCAACGAUGCGUAGCCGACCUGAGAGGGUGAUCGGCCACACUGGAACUGAGACACGGUCCAGACUCCUACGGGAGGCAGCAGUAGGGAAUCUUCCGCAAUGGGCGAAAGCCUGACGGAGCAACGCCGCGUGAGUGAUGAAGGUCUUCGGAUCGUAAAACUCUGUUAUUAGGGAAGAACAAAUGUGUAAGUAACUAUGCACGUCUUGACGGUACCUAAUCAGAAAGCCACGGCUAACUACGUG